CUGAAGCAAACAUUGCCACAUGAUGGAAGCUGUGUUCUGGAAUACGCUGAAAAUCCUUGCUUAGAAGGAGGAGUUUUUCUCUCUUGAGCUUCACUGUUUAUGGUAGAUGUCAGUUUUUUUUCUGUUUGUAGGUCACAUGACAAAACUUUAUCACUGUUACUAACAGAACAAGUAUUUUCUGUUUUAGAAGUCCUUGAGAGUUUGACAGCUGCUCCAAAAGUUUCCAGUUCUGUAAAAUCAUCAUCAAAAUCCAUCCCUGCAUCAUCUGUAAGUGGAACCUUCCUGUACUGGUAGGCAUCAGAAGACACAUCCCACUGAAACAGAUUGUCCUCAUCUGGUUUGUCCAUCAAAACAUCAGAAAUGGAAAUGUAAGACUUUUUAGUUGCUAGGAAGUCCACUGGAAUUUCAUGGAAUAUUUGGU
RNAcentral lists this long non-coding RNA (421 nucleotides) under Gallus gallus (chicken). Lineage: Eukaryota; Metazoa; Chordata; Aves; Galliformes; Phasianidae. The record is from RNAcentral.